CCCCCCUCAGGGCCGCACCUGGAUAGUUACCAGUACUCUACCAGUCUCGACUACAGGAGGGAGAGUCAAGCAGAGGCCUUUCCAUUCCAUUCCUAGCUUGGGCAGUGGCUAGUGAGUGGAAGGGAAUCUGCUACAAGU
Molecule: small nucleolar RNA, 138 nt
Filed under: Ornithorhynchus anatinus (platypus)
Lineage: Eukaryota; Metazoa; Chordata; Mammalia; Monotremata; Ornithorhynchidae
Source: RNAcentral